CCAAUAGCGUAUAUUAAAGUUGUUGCAGUUAAAAAGCUCGUAGUUGAAUUUCGGGAUCAAUAUAUUGGUCGUGCCUCCGGUAUGCACUGGUAUUAUUGAUUUCUACCUUCUGACGAACUGUGAUGUCAUUAAUUUGGUGUCAUGGGGAAUCAGGACUGUUACUUUGAAAAAAUUAGAGUGUUUAAAGCAGGCACACGCUUGAAUACAUUAGCAUGGAAUAAUGAAAUAGGACGUUUGACCCUAUUUUGUUGGUUUCUAGGAUCGACGUAAUGAUUAAUAGGGAUAGUUGGGGGCAUUAGUAUUCAAUUGUCAGAGGUGAAAUUCUUGGAUUUAUUGAAGACUAACUACUGCGAAAGCAUUUGCCAAGGAUGUUUUCAUUAAUCAAGAACGAAAGUUAGGGGAUCGAAGACGAUCAGAUACCGUCGUAGUCUUAACCAUAAACUAUGCCGACUAGGGAUCGGAUGAUGUUAAUUUUUUAAUGACUCAUUCGGCGCCUUACG
RNAcentral lists this ribosomal RNA (500 nucleotides) under uncultured Glomeromycotina. RNAcentral describes it as "partial small subunit ribosomal RNA". It matches the Rfam family "Eukaryotic small subunit ribosomal RNA", at positions 591 to 1092 of the family's 1831-position model. Lineage: Eukaryota; Fungi; Glomeromycota. The record is from RNAcentral.